Molecule: ribosomal RNA, 469 nt
Filed under: uncultured bacterium
Lineage: Bacteria
Description: partial 16S ribosomal RNA
Rfam family: Bacterial small subunit ribosomal RNA
Source: RNAcentral
GACGAACGCUGGCGGCGUGCUUAACACAUGCAAGUCGAACGGUGAAGCGAGUGCUUGCACUCGUGGAUCAGUGGCGAACGGGUGAGUAACACGUGAGUAACCUGCCCAUCACUCUGGGAUAAGCACUGGAAACGGUGUCUAAUACUGGAUACGACCAACCCUUGCAUGGGGUGUUGGUGGAAAGAUUUAUCGGUGAUGGAUGGACUCGCGGCCUAUCAGCUUGUUGGCGGGGUAAUGGCCCACCAAGGCGACGACGGGUAGCCGGCCUGAGAGGGUGACCGGCCACACUGGGACUGAGACACGGCCCAGACUCCUACGGGAGGCAGCAGUGGGGAAUAUUGCACAAUGGGCGAAAGCCUGAUGCAGCGACGCCGCGUGAGGGAUGACGGCCUUCGGGUUGUAAACCUCUUUCAGCAGGGAAGAAGCGAAAGUGACGGUACCUGUAGAAGAAGCACCGGCUAACUACGUG